AACGAACGCUGGCGGCAUGCCUAACACAUGCAAGUCGAACGAACCCUUCGGGGUUAGUGGCGCACGGGUGCGUAACGCGUGGGAAUCUGCCCUUUGCUUCGGAAUAACUCAGGGAAACUUGUGCUAAUACCGGAUGAUGUCUUCGGACCAAAGAUUUAUCGGCAAGGGAUGAGCCCGCGUAGGAUUAGGUAGUUGGUGGGGUAAAGGCCUACCAAGCCGACGAUCCUUAGCUGGUCUGAGAGGAUGAUCAGCCACACUGGGACUGAGACACGGCCCAGACUCCUACGGGAGGCAGCAGUGGGGAAUAGUGGACAAUGGGCGCAAGCCUGAUCCAGCAAUGCCGCGUGAGUGAGGAAGGCCCUCGGGUCGUAAAGCUCUUUUACCAGGGAUGAUAAUGACAGUACCUGGAGAAUAAGCUCCGGCUAACUCCGUG
This 433-nucleotide ribosomal RNA is filed under the name uncultured bacterium. Its description in RNAcentral is "partial 16S ribosomal RNA". It matches the Rfam family "Bacterial small subunit ribosomal RNA", at positions 29 to 507 of the family's 1533-position model. The record is from RNAcentral.